UUUUAAGUCCAAUCUGCCCAAUGAAAAAUUAAAUGGCUGCAGUAUUUUAACUGUACUAAGGUAGCAUAAUAAUUUGUUUUUUAAUUAAAAACUAGAAUGAAAGAUUAAAUGAAAUAUAUACUAUAUCAAUUAAAAAAAUUUAAAUUUUUAUUUAAGUAAAAAAACUUAAAUAAAUUUAAUAGACGAUAAGACCCUAUAAAAUUUUAUUAUUAAAAUAAAUUAAUUUAUUUUAAAUUUUCUAUAAUAAAUAAUAUAUUUUAAUAAUUUAAUUGGGGUAAUUAAAAAAUUUAAUAAACUUUUUUUUAAAAAACAUAUUUAAAUGAAAAUAAUAUCUUAAAUUUUAAAUUAAUAAAAUUAAUUACUUUAGGGAUAACAGUAUAA
Molecule: ribosomal RNA, 381 nt
Filed under: Allorhogas sp. CNIN 1012
Lineage: Eukaryota; Metazoa; Arthropoda; Insecta; Hymenoptera; Braconidae
Description: Allorhogas sp. CNIN1012 partial 16S ribosomal RNA
Source: RNAcentral